Molecule: long non-coding RNA, 240 nt
Filed under: Mytilus galloprovincialis (Mediterranean mussel)
Lineage: Eukaryota; Metazoa; Mollusca; Bivalvia; Mytilida; Mytilidae
Source: RNAcentral
AUUAUAUUGAUCACCAAACUGUACAAUAUUCAAUAUAUGACUUUCAUAAAAUCAGAUGAUGUUUCAAGCGCACAGAUUGAUGGUUAUUAUUGACACUUUAUUGUUCAUAUUAGGUAUAGAUCUGAAGUGGUGAAAGGUAGACCACCGGUCAAAGACAAACAAGUUGAUAACUUGAGUUGGCACCGCUUUAACUGUUCAAUCGUCACCACCGGACAUCCACAUUAACAUCAAAAACAGGAC